RNAcentral lists this ribosomal RNA (439 nucleotides) under uncultured bacterium. Its description in RNAcentral is "partial 16S ribosomal RNA". It matches the Rfam family "Bacterial small subunit ribosomal RNA", at positions 339 to 795 of the family's 1533-position model. The record is from RNAcentral.
CUACGGGUCGCACCAGUGAGGAAUAUUGCACAAUGGGGGGAACCCUGAUGCAGCAACGCCGCGUGGAGGAUGACGCAUUUCGGUGUGUAAACUCCUUUUAUAUGUCAAGAAAAUGACGGUAGCAUAUGAAUAAGCACCGGCUAACUCCGUGCCAGCAGCCGCGGUAAUACGGAGGGUGCAAGCGUUACUCGGAAUCACUGGGCGUAAAGGACGCGUAGGCGGGUUGGAAGGUCAGGUGUGAAAUCCUACAGCUUAACUGUAGAACUGCACUUGAAACUUCUAAUCUAGAGUAUGGGAGGGGGAGAUGGAAUUAGUGGCGUAGGGGUAAAAUCCGUAGAUAUCACUAGGAAUACCUAAAGCGAAGGCGAUCUCCUGGAACAUUACUGACGCUAAGGCGUGAAAGCGUGGGGAGCAAACAGGAUUAGAUACCCCUGUAGUC